GGGCCCGCACAAGCGGUGGAUUAUGUGGAUUAAUUCGAUGCAACGCGAAGAACCUUACCUGGCCUUGACAUGUACCGAAUUUAGCAGAGAUGCUUUAGUGCUCGUAAGAGAACGGUAACACAGGUGCUGCAUGGCUGUCGUCAGCUCGUGUCGUGAGAUGUUGGGUUAAGUCCCGCAACGAGCGCAACCCUUGCCAUUAAUUGCCAUCAUUUAGUUGGGCACUUUAAUGGGACUGCCGGUGACAAACCGGAGGAAGGUGGGGAUGACGUCAAGUCCUCAUGGCCCUUAUGGCCAGGGCUUCACACGUAAUACAAUGGAUGGUACAGAGGGAUGCCAACCCGCGAGGGGAGCCAAUCCCAGAAAGCCAUUCGUAGUCCGGAUUGUUGUCUGCAACUCGACAACAUGAAGUCGGAAUCGCUAGUAA
Molecule: ribosomal RNA, 424 nt
Filed under: uncultured bacterium
Lineage: Bacteria
Description: bacterial SSU rRNA
Rfam family: Bacterial small subunit ribosomal RNA
Source: RNAcentral